GCAGGCCCAGUGCAAAAAAUUCAAUGUAUCAUCCUCAGGGGAAAAGACUCCAUGUCCCAAUGUUAAAAAACCGGUAUGUGGCACAGAUGGCCAGACAUACAAGAACCUUUGUGAAUUCUGCAAGAUAGCUGUGGAAAAGAAUGGACAGCUUGGCUACAAACAUGAAGGAAAAUGCUAGACCUUCGAAUGAUUCAGUGACUACAAUUUUCCCUCACUAACACCUUCAAUAAAAAUAACUUGGCAAAUAU
Long non-coding RNA from Antechinus flavipes (yellow-footed antechinus), 248 nucleotides. RefSeq lists it as uncharacterized. The transcript is spliced from 2 exons. The record is from RefSeq and is a predicted model, not a curated record. NCBI's taxonomy places the organism in Eukaryota, Metazoa, Chordata, Mammalia, Dasyuromorphia, Dasyuridae.